GAAAACUACCAUGACGCAGUGCGACCUGGGGACUUAGUGCUGGACGUUCGGCGCUCAAGCUUUUCUUAUGCCUAAAAAGCACGAGGAAUAAGGGCUGGGUAAGACCGGUGCCAGCCGCCGCGGUAAUACCGGCGGCUCAAGUGGCGAUCGUUGUUAUGGGUCUAAAGCGUCCGUAGCCGGCCAGGUAAAUCCUUAGAUAAAUCGAACAGCUCAACUGUUCGGCCUCUUGGGAGACUGCUUGGCUUGAGACCGGGAGAGGUUAGAGGUACUUCUGGGGUAGGGGUGAAAUCCUGUAAUCCUGGAGGGACCACCAUGUGGCGAAGGCGUCUAACUUGAACGGGUUUGACGGUGAGGGACGAAGGCCAGGGGCGCAAACCGGAUUAGAUACCCGGGUAGUCCUGGCUGUAAACGCUGCGGGCUUGGUGUUGGGGGUCCCGUGUGGGCACCCAGUGCCGAAGAGAAGUUGUUAAGCUCGCCACCAGGGGAGUACGGUCGCAAGACUGAAACUUAAAGGAAUUGGCGGGGGAGCACCGCAACGGGAGGAGCGUGCGGUUUAAUUGGAUUCAACGCCGGACAACUCACCAGGGGCGACCGCCGGAUGAGGCUCAGCCUGACGAGCUUGGCCGAUAGGUGGAGAGGUGGUGCAUGGCCGUCGUCAGUUCGUACCGUAAGGCGUUCUCUUAAGUGAGAUAACGAACGAGACCCUCGCUUUUAAUUGCUAUCGCAUCCUCCGGGAUGCGAGCACAUUAACGGGACCGCCGCUGCUAAAGCGGAGGAAGGUGGGGUCAACGGUAGGUCAGUAUGCCCCGAAUCUCCUGGGCUACACGCGCGCUACAAAGGAUGGGACAGAGGGUUCCACGCCGAAAGGCGACGGUAAUCCCGAAACCCAUUCGUAGUUCGGAUUGAGGGCUAACUCGCCGUCAUGAAGGUGGAUUCCGUAUACGUAG
RNAcentral lists this ribosomal RNA (947 nucleotides) under uncultured archaeon. RNAcentral describes it as "bacterial SSU rRNA". It matches the Rfam family "Archaeal small subunit ribosomal RNA", at positions 343 to 1300 of the family's 1478-position model. The record is from RNAcentral.